GGGACCCCCCCUGGACCGACCGCCGUCUGCCCGUCUGCCUGCCCCCCCCGGCCCGAGUGUCUCAAGCGAGGCGAGCGCCUGGUGGAGGUGGAGGAGGCCCAGCUGGCGAGCUGCUGUGGGAGUUUCUCCUGCCAGUGUGAGGAGUGCCCAGGCGUGCUGGAGCCAUGUGACGGGGGACGGCAGGUGGAGGUUGUCCUCAACUCGGAGUCAAACUGCUGCCCACAGCUGUCCUGUGUUUGCCGGCGGGAGCUCUGCACGCCGGCACCGACGUGUGGAGAUGGGGAACGACUCACAGAGAGCUAUGGAGCGUGCUGUACCAUCUACACCUGUGGUGAGACACUCACAGAGACUCAUAGACACUCAUAGAGACCCUUAGACACUCAUAGAGACUCACAGAGAGCUAUGGAGCCUGCUGUACCAUCUACACCUGUGGUGAGACACUCACAGAGACUCAUAGACACUCAUAGAGACCCUUAGACACUCACAGAGACCCUUAGACACUCAUAGAGACCCUUAGACACUCAUAGAGACUCACAGAGAGCUAUGGAGCCUGCUGCACCAUCUACACCUGUGGCGAGACACUCACAGAGACUCAUAGACACUCAUAGAGACCCUUAGACACUCACAGAGACUCAUAGACACUCAUAGAGACCCUUAGACACUCAUAGAGACUCACAGAGAGCUAUGGAGCCUGCUGUACCAUCUACACCUGUGGUGAGACACUCACAGAGACUCAUAGACACUCAUAGAGACCCUUAGACACUCAUAGAGACUCACAGAGAGCUAUGGAGCCUGCUGCACCAUCUACACCUGUG
Petromyzon marinus (sea lamprey) is the source of this 815-nucleotide non-coding RNA. The record is from RefSeq and is a predicted model, not a curated record. Lineage: Eukaryota; Metazoa; Chordata; Hyperoartia; Petromyzontiformes; Petromyzontidae.